GACGAACGCUGGCUGCGUGCUUAACACAUGCAAGUCGAACGCUGAAACCCUGGUGCUUGCACCGGGGUGGAUGAGUGGCGAACGGGUGAGUAACACGUGAGUAACCUGCCCCCGACUUCGGGAUAAGCCCGGGAAACUGGGUCUAAUACCGGAUAUGAGCGCCCCUCGCCUGAGGGAUGCUGGAAAGUCUUUUCGGUUGGGGAUGGGCUCGCGGCCUAUCAGUUUGUUGGUGAGGUAAUGGCUCACCAAGACGACGACGGGUAGCCGGCCUGAGAGGGCGACCGGCCACACUGGGACAGAGACACGGCCCAGACUCCUACGGGAGGGAGCAGUGGGGAAUAUUGCACAAUGGGGGAACCCCUGAUGCAGCGACGCAGCGUGCGGGAUGACGGCCUUCGGGUUGUAAACCGCUUUCAGCAGGGAAGAAGCCCCUUGGGGUGACGGUACCUGCAGAAGAAGUACCGGCUAACUACGUGCCAGCCGCCGCCGUAA
RNAcentral lists this ribosomal RNA (492 nucleotides) under uncultured bacterium. RNAcentral describes it as "partial 16S ribosomal RNA". It matches the Rfam family "Bacterial small subunit ribosomal RNA", at positions 28 to 523 of the family's 1533-position model. The record is from RNAcentral.